UAGGGAAUAUUAGAAAUGGACGAAAGUCUGAUCUAGCAACACCGCGUGUGCGAAGAAGGCCUUCGGGUCGUAAAGCACUUUUUGGAAGGAAUAGGAAGGAAUGUACUUCCAGAAUAAGUCUCGGCUAACUACGUGCCAGCAGCCGCGGUAACACGUAGGAGGCAAACGUUAUCCGGAUUUACUGGGCGUAAAGCGCGUGUAGGUGGUACUGUAAGUAGGGCGUGAAAGCUCCUGGCUCAACUGGGAGAGGCCGUUCUAAACUACAGAACUAGAGGAUGGGAGAGGGAGGUGGAAUGCCAGGUGUAGCGGUGGAAUGCGCAGAUAUCUGGAGGAACACCGGUGGCGAAGGCGGCCUCCUGGGCCAUUCCUGACACUCAGACGCGAAAGCUAGGGUAGCAAACGG
This 403-nucleotide ribosomal RNA is filed under the name uncultured bacterium. Its description in RNAcentral is "bacterial SSU rRNA". It matches the Rfam family "Bacterial small subunit ribosomal RNA", at positions 355 to 775 of the family's 1533-position model. The record is from RNAcentral.